Long non-coding RNA from Nicotiana attenuata, 375 nucleotides. RefSeq lists it as uncharacterized. NCBI's taxonomy places the organism in Eukaryota, Viridiplantae, Streptophyta, Magnoliopsida, Solanales, Solanaceae. The record is from RefSeq and is a predicted model, not a curated record. The transcript is spliced from 4 exons.
CUCACCACCGCCGCUGCAACCCAUCCCAACUCAUGUCUUGCUUUUAUUAGAUUUUAAACAUAUUUUCGCAUCUCUCUUUCCUUGAUCUGGGUUGGGGUUUCCUUUCAUCAUUUUCUGAGAAAAUCAAAUGGCCUCUCCACCCACUAGCGCUCAACAAGCUCCUCUUCUUUGGUGACUGCGAAAGUGGUAUCAAAGAGCUUUUCCACAAAUUCAAGAGCAGAGUCAACCACACCUCCCAAAUCACUAUUGUUGGAGCCAAUGUUUACCUCUUUGAAACUCUCGACUAUGAGUCAUAUCUGAUGUCGGACAAUUUAGCGGGUGAAAGAUUUCAAAAUGUUGAAAAGUUGCUGAAAUCAUUUGAAGACCAUCAUUUGA